GCCCUCCUAGUUUAGUGGUAAAACAGCUCUCUCGUAAAGAGCAGCCAGUCGUUCGAUUCGGCUGUAGGGCA
RNAcentral lists this transfer RNA (71 nucleotides) under Tilletia controversa (dwarf bunt fungus). It matches the Rfam family "tRNA". From Rfam's summary of the family: Transfer RNA (tRNA) molecules are approximately 80 nucleotides in length. Their secondary structure includes four short double-helical elements and three loops (D, anti-codon, and T loops). The record is from Rfam by way of RNAcentral. Lineage: Eukaryota; Fungi; Basidiomycota; Exobasidiomycetes; Tilletiales; Tilletiaceae.